AGCCAGGCUGGAUUCCAGCCCUUCCGCUCACCAGCUAGGGCCUGAAGAAGAUCUCUGCCUAGAUGAAGUCCAGCUGUUUCCUCCGAAGACCCGUGUUUCUAUAUGUGGCCUUGUGGGGCAACAAGUAGGGAUUUUAAGGCCAGAAAAUCAGAGCAAAGGGUCAGAGGGGCAACCGAUGUCCGUGGCCCUGGAGAACAGCUGCACCUCCGUGCACCCAGAACCAGCUGUCUUGCUUCUUUCUCCUUUUUUUCACUUUCUU
This 259-nucleotide long non-coding RNA is filed under the name Equus caballus (horse). Its description in RNAcentral is "lncRNA (ENSECAG00000046069.1)". The record is from RNAcentral. Lineage: Eukaryota; Metazoa; Chordata; Mammalia; Perissodactyla; Equidae.